Non-coding RNA from Paramuricea clavata, 253 nucleotides. Lineage: Eukaryota; Metazoa; Cnidaria; Anthozoa; Malacalcyonacea; Plexauridae. The record is from the annotation of a GenBank genome assembly.
UUUUGGAAAAUUUGUGUUAUGUUCCGAAAAAUAUUGGUUGUCCGGAAAAUUUUUUUGACCCCUAAAAUGGUACAGUGACCGAAAAUUUUUUUGGCGACGGGGGGGAAGGGGCAAGGGAGGCCAAAAUAAUUUUUCCGGAAAAAUUUUUUUGGACUAGUCGGGCAGAAUCCGAAAAGUCGGGCAAUUUUCUUUCCGCCCCCCUAAUUUUUUCCUUCCGGUACGCCCAUGAGUACGUUUGGUUUUUAUCCCAUAC